This 310-nucleotide long non-coding RNA is filed under the name Ananas comosus (pineapple). RNAcentral describes it as "long non-coding RNA (ACOM_LNC013101)". Lineage: Eukaryota; Viridiplantae; Streptophyta; Magnoliopsida; Poales; Bromeliaceae. The record is from RNAcentral.
UAAAACGUUUCGUAUGAAUAAAAAAAAAUAUCGUUCUUCGAUAGCUUAGACUCUUGAAAAAUAAUUAUUGUUUAAUGUAAAGAAACAUUAAUAUCUAUCUCUAUUCAAACACGAAAAAAAGAGAAAUUGUAUAUGUACCUUAUAAUACGAGCUCGAACUUGGUGAAAAUGAGCAGACUGGUGAGGAAGAUGUGGUGGAAAAUGAAGCAGUCAAGAGUAAUAGAGUGGCGGUGCCUCUAGAGGAAGCAGUGGAGGUAGACGGACGCGAUGAUGUAAAAGUAGGCACUGCAAUCGGAAAGGCGAGGGACGAA